Molecule: long non-coding RNA, 1017 nt
Filed under: Canis lupus familiaris (dog)
Lineage: Eukaryota; Metazoa; Chordata; Mammalia; Carnivora; Canidae
Description: lncRNA (ENSCAFG00000054068.1, ENSCAFG00805018647.1)
Source: RNAcentral
UUGCGUGGGAAUGCGGCCCCCCUCGUCACCAGCUGAGUGACUCUGGCCACGUCACCUACCCUCUCUGCGCCCCCUUGCCCUCACCUAGUGGGGAAUAGCGGGGGCGCUGACCUCACUAGGUUGCUAUGAACAUGGGUGACGUAAUGAUUCCUACGACAAUGCCUGGCGCGGACAAAGCACUAUGUGGAUGGUCACUGUUAUGAUGCUGGAUCCUGCUACUUCCCCCUCCUCCUCCCCCAUUCUGUCUUUCAUACUUCUGGAAGGUUCUGAGGCUCCUUCCUGCCCCAUCCACUUAUAUAUAUAUUUUUGCAUCUCUCACAGCCCUCAAGCUCAAAGAGUCUGGCACGAAAUGUGACGACCCAUCGGCCCCCAGACUCCAACACCCCAUCCCUGGGGCCUACUGAUGUGAGGAGCAGGAAAGGUUGAAGGGUGCCUGGUGCCUAGGGAGUCGGGAGCCUGUGGCAAGCAGCUGCUGCCCACUCAGCCCUCUCCGGAGGGUCUCCCUCCUCUGUGUCCUGCCCUGCCACCUCCCGGAGAGAGGGAUCAAGAGGCAAAUCCAGAAACGAGGGACCCAGGGACCUGGCAGAGGCAGCUGCAGGCAUCCCCAGCUCAGACAUUCAAAUUCUUGUGGGUUUUUCUGUGGAUCUUUCCUAGGACUGGGGAAUUUGGCGGGAGAAACCACAGCAGUGUGGUGGCCUCCCCCACCCUCCCCAUAUCCUCUGCUCCUGAGGAUCAGGAAGAAACAAGCCCCUGUGUAUUCUGGAAGAAAGUUCCCCUUCUCCACCCAGCCCGAUGGAGCCAGUACUCUGAGCAGCCCUUCCCCAAUUCAGCAGCUCCGUCUAUGGCAUGGGGUGGGACGUGGAGGGAUUGGCAGGGCCUCGAAGGGAGAAAACCGUCUUGAGAGGUCAUGGGGUCCAUCGUCCUGAGCGGAGGACGUGCUGGCCAGCCCUCAGCUCAUGGAGACGGCUGCUGAAGACCUGCACACACCACCACUAAAUCAUGGUGCCUCCUCCCAAG